AUGUUGUGCUUUAUUCUCACACCUUCUGUAUACCCAUCUUUUUCUUUAUUAAAGAAACUUCACAUCGGCCACGUAGGAUCACAGACAAGCUGAGUGACCAACCUUCUCCGCUUAUUUGUUACAACAUCAAAAGGCAUCGGGAUCAGUUUGGAGUAUCACAGAUACAGAUAAAAAGAAUGAUCUGCAGGCAAAUAUUUUCCUUUGGCGUCCGGUGCCAUGGCUCCAGGCUGUGAUCGCGCUCUCUGCACCUUGAAGAUUUGCAUCUUCAAAGGGACUUCAAAGAGGAGGUGAGUGGCUCGGUGAGGAGGUGCUAACAGUCUCACUGAAGCUGCAGCUGGAUGGCAGCAGACAGACUGGAGACAAGGCUGGAUGACAGGGGGAAGAGGCCAAAAGCUGUUUACAAGUUCAGCCACAGAGAGCUGCAAAUGAGAUCUACAACAUCAGCUGAUGAGUGCUGGAGUUAGGCUUACAGUAUAUCACUUUCAGGGAAGUCAUUUCAACUGCUCUAAAUGUAGAAAUAGCCUUUGGGGUUGGACAAAAUAAAACAAUCAGUGUUUGUGUACAGUUAUGAAACUUACAGAGGUCACAUAUGGUAGUAGGGUAGUUUAAUAACUCCAGUUUCGUCAAUAGUGGAAAGUAACUAAGUAGACUUACUAACUAAGUUUUGUGUAUAAUCUUGAGGUACUUGUACUGACUAUUUCCAUUUCAUGCCAUUUUAUACUUCUAACCCACUACAUCGCUGAGGAAAAUAUUGUACAUUUAACUCAACUGCACUUAUGUGACAGAUAAAGCCACUGGCUACUUUACAGGUUCAACUUUUGCGUGAACAUUAAAUUAAACCUGAGAUUCCAAAUCUUUUUGGCUUGUGAGCCUCAUAAGCAAUGUUACGUUUCCCCUUUAAACUUCUCAGAUAGUUUCAUUUAAAUAACAGUUUGAGGCACCGUGAAAAAUAUUUCACAAAAUUCUAAACAACUGUAUGUAAAGCUCCACCUUGAGCAGCUACAACAAUAAAAUGCUAGUUAUGCAUCAUAAUAUCAUAUAUAAUAAAACAUCACAGGGGCCACUAUCCUGCCGAACGACUACUUUUGGUGGUUUGAGUACAUUUUGUUGGUAAUACAAUGCAAAUUUGAACUUUUACUCGUAAUGGGGUGUUUUUAUCACGUUUGUACUUUCACUUAAGGAUCUGAGUACUCUUCUUCCACCUCUGUUUAGUUUUGAUAUUUUCAUUAAGAGUCAAAGAAAUAAUUAUGUCAGAUAGUAUAUGGGCAGAAUCAGCAGUUUAUCACAACAGCCGUUUUAGCAGCAAACAAAAAGGUGAAGAAAAUGGUAGAAUAUGUAAAAAUAUGUCUUGUUUUAUGUGGUUAAAGCAGCAAUACUGAGGCAAUUUCUUGGGCACUGUUGCCCAUCAGAGUUGCCCAAAAAAUUGCCUAGUGUAUCACCACCCUAAGUCGUUUUGGUGUAAGUAAAAAAUGAAAAUAAAAAUUGGCUAAAUAUCUUUAUUGUGUGAUUCAGCUUAAAGACCCCAAAAGUCAGAAUGCAUAAAUGUCAAAUCCAGUAUUUAAUGCCAAGACGUCUUUAUUCAGAAACAACAGCAAACAAAUGACUCAGGGGCAAACAGGUGUUAUAAAUGAACAGUAAUGUAGCAAAAAUGCAAUAACACAUUACUCCACACACACACACACACACACAAUGUCAUCAUGAAUGAAUAUGAUGAAAUGUGAGUUAUGAUAUUACAAAAAAACGAAUCACAGAGACACAAAUAUCACCUGUGGUCAGUGUGUCAGGAUUGCUUUGCAGUCUUCCUCUAUACAGUCCAGGCAGGCUGGAGCCCGGUGUGUGUGUGUGUGUGUGUGUGUGUGUGUGCAAGCGCUUUGAGCUGUCAUGCGGAGAGGAUGAUGAAAUGGCUGUCUGCCUGGUGGAAUACCUCUGCAGCCCCAUUUUCCCAUGCCCUAUGCCUCUUUAAAGUUACAUCUGAAAGAGGUAUAUGCAUAGGAAAAAGGAACAGCGAGUGCAAAGAGCCCUGCUGUCCUGUCGCCGCACGCUGGAGCCUGGAGGGCAGGGAUGAGAAAAGCUGGUCAGAUAGAAGUAGUAACUCAGAUAUUCUUUCACUAUCUGACAUCUUGAGGCAGCAGGCUUUUGCUGUUAAAUAUGAAAAUGAAACAAAAUGCAUAUUCUAUCCAAAAAAUCCCCAGUAAAGUGUUUGGACAACAUUUUCUUAGUUUCCAACAAUUUAAAACAAAGUUAAACGAAUUAGUGUAUUAAUUUAAUUAGGCGUGAAGAGGACUUACCCCACAAAGCUCCAGAUGAGUCUCUCCUGGGAACACACCUCCUCUUGGCCAUUUAUCCCUCCACAGGGACCUUGAAGAUGUUUGAGAAAGACAAAGUUGCUGUUGUCUGCGCUCACUCAGCACUUAUCCUCCCCUCUUGAUUUCAAGCCAUUGCGACACACCUGUGGAUAACACUGAUGCCUCUGGAGAAAAAAUACUACACCGCACUGAUACACAUAGCUUGGAUGCCCGUGCAAAGUUCAUUGUCUGUUAUGCCUGAAUCACUCUAGUUAACAGUGAACUUGUUGCAGUUAUUAUCUCCUAUCUGGCACCCGCUGUAGACGUCAGAAGCAGAGCGUGGAAGAGGGGAAACGUUCAGGACGGCUCGUUCCUGCCGUCGUUUCUUAUCUGUUCAGGGUUUUUUUUUUUUUUUGCUCCCUUUUUCUCUCCCAGAAGAGAGGCCCCCAUGCUUUUUAGCACUCAAGGUCUCUAGACAAGGACUCUCAGGGUGUGCAGAAGUGAGACACAAACACACACACACACACACACACAUGCCGUGUAGUGUGUAGUUCGUAGUGUGGGGAGUGUUAUGGCAUGUCAAGGCCAGUGCAACCAGUCGAAGAUGAAACUGUGCUCUUUCCUCUGAACCUCUGAGUUUGCACUGGUAAGAGCAGCAGUCAUAUAUCAAAGUGUUUUGUAAAGAGAGAUCUAUCUUAGAUGAUCAUGUUGGCCCAGCUGAGGUCAUCUCACACCCCACUGUAACUGAUGAUGAGCACCACAAGGAGAGUUACAUGAUAUUCACAUCUUUACAAGCUUGUUAUAGAUCUGGUUGUUGAGUUUUGGUGAAUACAAACAUGUUUUACUUUACCAUCACAGAUGCUAAAUCACAUAUUAACAUAACAUAAAAGUGCGCUGCCCCACUCAUCAUCUGUCUGUAGGAGGCUGAUGUGCUCUGUAUUGACAGGAUUCAUCUGUGUUGUAGUGUUAAAUCCAUUAAAAGCAAGCUUUUAUGCAAAUUCAUGGAGAAAUAGUUUGAAAAUGUAUCCUAUCAAAACGAAAAACGAAAUUAUAAGCAUAUAUGCAUAUUAAAGUAUGGCCAUGAA
Long non-coding RNA from Micropterus dolomieu (smallmouth bass), 3370 nucleotides. RefSeq lists it as uncharacterized. NCBI's taxonomy places the organism in Eukaryota, Metazoa, Chordata, Actinopteri, Centrarchiformes, Centrarchidae. The transcript is spliced from 2 exons. The record is from RefSeq and is a predicted model, not a curated record.